Molecule: non-coding RNA, 171 nt
Filed under: Anaerobacterium chartisolvens
Lineage: Bacteria; Bacillati; Bacillota; Clostridia; Eubacteriales; Oscillospiraceae
Source: RNAcentral
UCCACCGAGAGGUGGAAUCUGAAGGAAGCUGGAGGCAAAUCUCUGGUCUGACGAACAGAAAUCACAUCAGGCGCAAGUUGAUGGAUAAGGUUGCAAUACAAACUGAAGUCCAAUAACUACUCAGAAUCAACAGCGUAAAUGUGGCAGAUAGAUGGAGAGAAAGAUUGUGCU